GACGAACGCUGGCGGCAUGCCUAAUACAUGCAAGUAGAACGCUGAAGGAGGAGCUUGCUUCUCUGGAUGAGUUGCGAACGGGUGAGUAACGCGUAGGUAACCUGCCUGGUAGCGGGGGAUAACUAUUGGAAACGAUAGCUAAUACCGCAUAAGAGUAGAUGUUGCAUGACAUUUGCUUAAAAGGUGCAAUUGCAUCACUACCAGAUGGACCUGCGUUGUAUUAGCUAGUUGGUGGGGUAACGGCUCACCAAGGCGACGAUACAUAGCCGACCUGAGAGGGUGAUCGGCCACACUGGGACUGAGACACGGCCCAGACUCCUACGGGAAGCAGCAGUAGGGAAUCUUCGGCAAUGGACGGAAGUCUGACCGAGCAACGCCGCGUGAGUGAAGAAGGUUUUCGGAUCGGAAAGCUCUGUUGUAAGGGAAGAACGAGUGUGAGAGUGGAAAGUUCACACUGUGACGGUAUCUUACCAGAAAGGGACGGCUAACUACGUG
RNAcentral lists this ribosomal RNA (495 nucleotides) under uncultured bacterium. Its description in RNAcentral is "partial 16S ribosomal RNA". It matches the Rfam family "Bacterial small subunit ribosomal RNA", at positions 28 to 507 of the family's 1533-position model. The record is from RNAcentral.